GGGCCAUUAGCUCAGCUGGUAGAGCAAGCGACUCUUAAUCGCUAGGUCGUAGGUUCGACCCCUACAUGGCCCA
This 73-nucleotide transfer RNA is filed under the name Deltaproteobacteria bacterium. Its description in RNAcentral is "tRNA-Lys". It matches the Rfam family "tRNA". Rfam says of the family: Transfer RNA (tRNA) molecules are approximately 80 nucleotides in length. Their secondary structure includes four short double-helical elements and three loops (D, anti-codon, and T loops). The record is from RNAcentral. Lineage: Bacteria; Pseudomonadati; Myxococcota; Myxococcia.